GGAGCUGGUAUCGCUGUGAGGCUGGGGCUGCCUCACUAUGCAAGCUGGGAGGACAGCACAGAGGCCAGUCCCUAAGUCACCCGGGGUCUAUUUGCUGAAUGAUUAACUGAGGAGAAGCAGAGGAAGAAACACUGCCAGGAACUAGAAGCAGCAGCAACAUUGCAGUUGGCACUCUGAUCUGGAACAUACUGACCUGCGAGCACAACAGUCUGGAUUGCCUGCAUUCGACUUCCCAGAAAUACCAGGGUUUCUCACGGCAGAACGUUGGAACCUGAGGUUAUCUAAAUCUUUGUUCUGAAAUACUUUGAUUUCCAUCUCCUAUACAGUAAAAAGCACUGGGUGUUCCAGAGCCAAGCUCAUGAAAGAAGCCCUGGUUGUGCAGGAAUGGAGCACACCCGUUUGGGAGGAAGCCCCGAGGUCCCAAGCAAACAUGCUGUAAGCAAGCCCUACGCCAGAUAUCCCAAAGCUUGCAAAUAACUCCGGAAUCUGAUGUCCUCUUCACCAGGCAUGCUGUGGUCCCAGAUACACAUGCAGGGUUUUGUCCUAAUAACUCACUGGAGGACAAUCUAGAAGAUCACUCCUCAGAGACUCCACCUUCUCCAAAGACCCACGAGAACAGGGCUCUGUGCUGUGUGGCCCCACUUAUCCAGUGCUCACAGACGCAGAUCUGACACGUGAUGGUGGAGGCCCCAGGGUAAGUCCUGUCCUGGCACAUCCCUGAGCUGAUGGAGUCACAUCUCAGAACAGAACUCUUCUGGAGGCCUUGAUCCUGCAUUCAAAAUCCCUUCUCUCCUUUUAGUUGGAACAGAACUUCCAACUAAAGGAAACUAAGAGAAACUAGGAUUAAAGGGCGGUGGGGGAAGGGAACGGGUUUAAGCUUCACCUUUGCUUCAGCAGUAAAUGUGGUCAGACACACAUCUAACAGGUUAUCCCCACUGCAAGAGUAUGUCCUUUGUUCUAAGACAGGACACAGGUGAACACUCUUAAGAGACUGCACUCAAACUUGAAUAGGGUGACAGGGAACUACAGUGGAGGAGUCGCCAGCAAACUAGUUUGCAGCUGAGAAUGGGUCGCCCAGCAGGCAUUCCCAAGAACACUUCUGCCAGCACAUGGACCAGGCUAGAGCCAAAACCAUGCUGGCAUUCUUCCACUCUCCUUCCUCAUACUGCCAACACUGGCCCUGAGGGAUGCUACUGCAGGCAAGCUCCCUGCCAACCGUGCUCCGGAGGGAAUGAUGCUACUUACAUCAUCUUGUACAUCGAGGUCACAGCCAGCCUUCAGCAAAAUCUGCACCACAGAAAGAUGACCCUUAUUGGCAGCAAGGUGCAAGGGGGUCCGGCCAUGCUGUUAAUGCAAAACAAAACAAAAGAUUGGUUUUUAGAACAAGAUAACCCAAGCAGGCAGGACACUAAAGAAAGCAGAGAUGAUGCACCAGCUUCUAAGAACAUCCCUUCCCCUAACCCAAGUUGUUCUUUUCCUCUGGCAAGGGAUUCUCAACUAAUUUAUCCAGAAUUAAAGUUGCCUUGGUUAACUUUGGUC
Non-coding RNA from Arvicanthis niloticus (Nile rat), 1539 nucleotides. Lineage: Eukaryota; Metazoa; Chordata; Mammalia; Rodentia; Muridae. The record is from RefSeq and is a predicted model, not a curated record.